ACGGCCGUACCAUGCUGAAUAUACCGGUUCUCGUUAGAUCACCGAAGUCAAGCAUCAUUGGGCGCGGUCAGUACUUGGGUGGGUGACCACCUAGAAACACCGCGUGCCGUU
This 111-nucleotide ribosomal RNA is filed under the name Caerostris darwini. Lineage: Eukaryota; Metazoa; Arthropoda; Arachnida; Araneae; Araneidae. The record is from RNAcentral.